AGAGUUUGAUCCUGGCUCAGGACGAACGCUGGCGGCGUGCCUAAUACAUGCAAGUCGAGCGAGCUUGCCUAGAUGAUUUUAGUGCUUGCACUAAAUGAAACUAGAUACAAGCGAGCGGCGGACGGGUGAGUAACACGUGGGUAACCUGCCCAAGAGACUGGGAUAACACCUGGAAACAGAUGCUAAUACCGGAUAACAACACUAGACGCAUGUCUAGAGUUUGAAAGAUGGUUCUGCUAUCACUCUUGGAUGGACCUGCGGUGCAUUAGCUAGUUGGUAAGGUAACGGCUUACCAAGGCAAUGAUGCAUAGCCGAGUUGAGAGACUGAUCGGCCACAUUGGGACUGAGACAAGGCCCAAACUCCUACGGGAGGCAGCAGUAGGGAAUCUUCCAAAAUGGACGAAAGUCUGAUGGAGCAACGCCGCGUGAGUGAAGAAGGGUUUCGGCUCGUAAAGCUCUGUUGGUAGUGAAGAAAGAUAGAGGUAGUAACUGGCCUUUAUUUGACGGUAAUUACUUAGAAAGUCACGGCUAACUACGUGCCCAGCAGCCGCGGUAAAUACGUAGGGUGGCAAGCGUUGUCCGGAUUUUAUUUGGGCGUAAAGCGAGUGCAGGGCGGUCCAAUAAGUUUGAUGUGAAAGCCUUCGGGUCAACCGGAGAAUUGCAUCAGAAACUGUUGAACUUGAGUGCAGAAGAGGAGAGUGGAACUCCAUGUGUAGCGGUGGAAUGCGUAGAUAUAUGGAAGAACACCAGUGGCGAAGGCGGCUCUCUGGUCUGCAACUGACGCUGAGGCUGGAAAGCAUGGGUAGCGAACAGGAUUAGAUACCCUGGUAGUCCAUGCCGUAAACGAUGA
RNAcentral lists this ribosomal RNA (850 nucleotides) under uncultured bacterium. Its description in RNAcentral is "bacterial SSU rRNA". It matches the Rfam family "Bacterial small subunit ribosomal RNA", at positions 8 to 812 of the family's 1533-position model. The record is from RNAcentral.